This 252-nucleotide ribosomal RNA is filed under the name uncultured Bacteroidales bacterium. Its description in RNAcentral is "partial 16S ribosomal RNA". It matches the Rfam family "Bacterial small subunit ribosomal RNA", at positions 524 to 776 of the family's 1533-position model. Lineage: Bacteria; Pseudomonadati; Bacteroidota; Bacteroidia; Bacteroidales. The record is from RNAcentral.
UACGGAGGAUGCGAGCGUUAUCCGGAUUUAUUGGGUUUAAAGGGUGCGCAGGCGGAAUGUCAAGUCAGCGGUAAAAUUUCGGGGCUCAACCCCGUCGUGCCGUUGAAACUGGCGGGCUGGAGUUGGAGAGAAGUACGCGGAAUGCGCGGUGUAGCGGUGAAAUGCUUAGAUAUCGCGCAGAACUCCGAUUGCGAAGGCAGCUUACCAAGCUACUUCUGACGUUGAGGCACGAAAGCGUGGGGAGCAAACAGG